UAUGUUCUUGGCAAUUGGCUCAUACAGGCUCUGACUUACUCAUCAGGGUAAUGCAAUGUUGGGUUUGGAAUUUGAUGGCACUCUUGGGAGGUAAUAGAAACUAGGGAGUGGGGCCUGCUUGAAGGAACUGGCUUACUGGAAGGGAAUAUCUUGUCCUUGGCUCCCUCCUGAUGGUUUUCUCUGCCUUCCAUUUGUCAUGGGUAAGCAGUUUUGUUCUUUCAUAUGUUAGCAUGUUCUGCUUCAUGGUGCAGGAGGCCAGGAGCAAGGGACCCCAGUGACCAUGAGCCCGAACACCUUUGCUGCUUUUCAAUAGUUUCUCUCACGUGCUUUGCUACAGUAACAAACUCAGCCCCCGCCAUCUCAGUUCCUGACUCUUUACGAAGACACUGGAUUUUAUCACACUAGAAAGUUGGAAGGCUGCGUGCGGUACAAUAUCAAGUGCUCCAUAUUUAUUAGAUACUCUUCCCUUCAGGCCUCGCUCUCUCAUAGGUGGGUGACUGUGAGCAAGCACCUAAAUUUUUGCGACCUUUAAUUUCUUUGUGUUUACGACGACACCUUCUUUAACAUUUAUGGGCUAUUCUCGUCUUGCCAAGGGGAAACUGAGGCUCGGAGCUAAGCAUUCACUCUCUUCGUUCUUUGUGGAGGAUGAUGUAUUGGGAAGGUAGUGGAGAAAGCCUUUGAGUGAUGGUGAAUGGGUACCACUCUUCUACAAUGGCCAGGAAGCACUGCUGAAGGCCAAAGGCAAGGAAGGGGCUGGAGAGAAGACUCAGCGGUGCAAAGCGCUGACCUUUCUUCCAGAGGACCAGAGUUCAGUUCCCAACGUUCACAGUCGGCGGUCCAAGACCACCUGUACCCGCAGCACCAGGGCUGCAAUAUCCUCCUCAGGCCUCCAUGGGCCCCUGUCUCAUGUGCCAUGUCUUCUCACAGACACAUACACAUGCAUGUAGAUAAACAUGAUAAAAAUGAAGGAUCUGUAAAAGGAAAGAAAGAAAGUGUAAUAGAGCAGAGAGUGAAAGCGCCACACUUUAGGAUGCUCCACUCUGAACUCUCAAGUCCAGGACACAUGACAUUCACAGUGUAAAGUAUCAGGAUCAUCGGGAGGCCCAUGGCCAGGGACUUGGUCCUUAACGAGAACCUCAUGAAGAUUCAACUUAGAGAUGGAGGUCGGAAGGAAACCCAGAAGAAACAAUGAAGCCAGGUACACUUCCUCCCAAAGAAAGGAGCCUUCCUUUCCCACAUACAUGUGUGGACAGGGUGAGGGGAAGGAGCAGUUCCUGGAAUCAACACGAGUAGAGCUGAUAAUUUUGGCCUUGGGUAAGCAUGACCACUCUCCCUGGCCAGGGGUCGUAAUAGCUGGAAGAAGAAAACAUCUCUUAGUGGACCCAACCCCCAAUGGUUGAACCAACUACAGAAGCUUCAAGGACAAGAGACCCAAGCAAACAAUGCAUGAAGGUCAAAGAAGAGUCAGAAGGUCAUGUUAGGAGUAGGAUCCCAAGAUAUCCUUUGGAUUCUUGAGAGGAAAGAUAGACUAUGUCUUUAGGGACAUUUGACCUUCCCUAAUUAUCAUACAUCAAGGGGAGGGUUACAUUUGUGUCUGUCUUUGCCAGUUAUGUGUUUCUGUAACAAAAUAGCUGAGGCUCAGAAGUCUUUGAAACACAGAAGCCUAUCUAGCUCAUAGUUCUGGUUGCUGGAAGGCCCAGAAAGUGUGGGGUAGCUUGUACCCCACGCAUCACAGCAGGGCCAAGAAGCAGAUGGGAAAUGAGCAUGCGCAGCUGAGUCACAUGAUGAGCAAGAAAGCAAAGAGUCUGGGGAGGAGUCAAACGUACUCUUUUUAUAGCAACUACUCUCACAGAUGCUAAUUAGCGCCUACCACAUCUGACCUACAUCUAUAACACAACAGCCAUCCAUUCAUAAGCUCCCACAACCUAAUGACUGUGUAUUGAGCUUCUUAAAGGUUUGAUUCCUUCCCGCUCCUAUGCUGGGGACCAGGUGACGAACGCACGAGUCUAUGGGGACAAACCUCAUCAAUCCAUAGCAAGGUCUCUCUGUAUAUUGCCUGUUUAGUACUUAAAGGUCAGUUUCAAGAAGCAAGACAUUAAUCUUCUCUCCAAAUCAAUAAAGGCUCGGUGAUUGGAUUGUUAAUCGCUAGUCUCAGGAAAUCAAGAAUUAAAACUUCAAUCUCCUUGAACCCGAUGGGGUAGCAGCCAGGUCCCCUUUCACAAAUGAAUGAUCUACUCUACCAACUGUUGUUGGCUUAAGGUAGGUAAGAUCACUUUUGAUGAAUAGAAAGCCCCCUCCGUGACCAUCUCUCCUUUAUCUGGGAUCCAGGAAAUCCAAUGACGUCAGAAUGACCCAUUCCCCUGGCCUCCACAAGGGGUAGUAGUUCUGAAGCCCAGAUCCAGAGCGCUUUUGAGAUUGGCCUUAAUACCGCACUGGAAUGCUUCACUGCCCCAUCUGCGUCUGACUCCCCCUUUCCUCCGGUGUCCUAACUGACACAUCUGGCAGGUCUUGAAUCUUAACGCCUGGCACCCACCUGCCGCAGAUGUUAGACGCUCCCCUCUGAGCAAUGCUUAUAAACAAGACUGCAACUGAGAGUUUCCAAGCAGUAAUAAGCAACAUCUGUACUUCUGUACUGUUGUAUGCUCCACCCAACACUCCUACGCUCAUUUAACUCUUCAGCCAUCUGAAGAGGUUGGCAGGCAGAGGACAGUGGCCUUGUCUGGCUUAUUUCACAAAUGCAAGAUCUCCACCAUGAAUCGGUCUCCAGAAAGAAAAAAAAAUCCUAAGACAAUGAUGUGAAUGGAGACAGGUCACUGGGAGUCAUCGUUGGGGAGUCUAACAAGGAAAGGACAGUGGCUGUAAGUUACGACCAACCUCUCAGGAGUGACUCUCUGCCAGCCUGGCUGCUAAAUCACGGACACCAGCGUAAUUGAAACAGAAAAUCACGCCCGGCAGAACAGCCUAGCAACACCACUAUUAGCAGCUGUGGCUCUCCACUUCGAACCAGGGAGCUAAUACGCCUCUUUAUGCAUGCGCAGGCACUGCCAGAUAUAUAUCUUCACCAAUGUUUUCAUAGGGACUGGGCCUUCCCACUCCUUCCUGCCACCACGAAGCUGCUCACUCUGGGAAGACCGAACUUGUCUGUGGUACCUAAGGCUGCCCCACUGUGGGGCUGAUGCAAAACUCUUCUUCCCUCCCCCCUCCCUCCUUUCCUUCCUCCCUUCUUCCCCUUCUCGUCCAUCACUGAGCUUACGGUGGUGCUGAGGAAGCUGAAAACAGAGCAAUCACACAAACCUGGAGGUAAACUGCACCAAUUGCCCUAAUCAAGCAAGCUGCUCUCCAAAGGGAUCUGACACCUUGGAAUGAAGGAGGUCACGGUGAGAAAGGGAUAAAGAAACCAGGGUACAGGGAGAGAAGACUGUUCUACACGCCUACAGCUGGAACAAAGUUCUGGCCCAGGAGCUAGAGAAGCGCCUUGCUUUCCGAUGUGGACUUCUUCCUCAGCAGCCGCUGUGUGGGACAAAUACAAUCCAGAAACACAUUGAUUGGAUUCAGCUUGCCGGUGGUGAGUUUCCUUUGUGUUUUGUUUCUUUUCUGGGGUUUUUUGAACCUAUGUAUUCCUCUUUACCCUGGAGCCUCCCGCCCCAGAGUGAUCAAGCAACCUGUUGUCUGUCACUGUGGAGCUGGGGCCAGCUUGGUCUUCUUCCAGCUGUUGAUAACCCUUCCUCUCUGGUUCGCAGUGAACUUCUAUAACAUGGAGAAUUUAUGACUGAAAAUGCAGCUUGGCCCGAAUGCAGAGACCACUGACUUGGAAAGGAGAUUCACUAUCAUCGUGGCCAUUGUGAUUGUCACUGUCACUAACACAUUUUCAGAGCGGACCACAAGUACUUCUAAGCAAGAGCUCAGUUCAUCCCAUGACACAUUGAGGUCAUCCAUAGAGGAGGAAACUAAGGUUC
Molecule: small RNA, 3956 nt
Filed under: Rattus norvegicus (Norway rat)
Lineage: Eukaryota; Metazoa; Chordata; Mammalia; Rodentia; Muridae
Description: uncharacterized LOC103692198
Source: RNAcentral